GAUGAACGCUGGCGGCGUGCCUAAUACAUGCAAGUCGAGCGAACGGACGAGAAGCUUGCUUCUCUGAUGUUAGCGGCGGACGGGUGAGUAACACGUGGAUAACCUACCUAUAAGACUGGGAUAACUUCGGGAAACCGGAGCUAAUACCGGAUAAUAUUUUGAACCGCAUGGUUCAAAAGUGAAAGACGGUCUUGCUGUCACUUAUAGAUGGAUCCGCGCUGCAUUAGCUAGUUGGUAAGGUAACGGCUUACCAAGGCAACGAUGCAUAGCCGACCUGAGAGGGUGAUCGGCCACACUGGAACUGAGACACGGUCCAGACUCCUACGGGAGGCAACAGUAGGGAAUCUUCCGCAAUGGGCGAAAGCCUGACGGAGCAACGCCGCGUGAGUGAUGAAGGUCCUCGGAUCGUAAAACUCUGUUAUUAGGGAAGAACAUAUGUGUAAGUAACUGUGCACAUCUUGACGGUACCUAAUCAGAAAGCCACGGCUAACUACGUG
Molecule: ribosomal RNA, 497 nt
Filed under: uncultured bacterium
Lineage: Bacteria
Description: partial 16S ribosomal RNA
Rfam family: Bacterial small subunit ribosomal RNA
Source: RNAcentral